GAACGAGAAAGUGGAGCAAUCCAUGAGUACAGUGGCGACCGGGUGAGUAACACGUGAGUACCUGCCCUUGAGUGGGGGAUAACUUCGGGAAACCGAGGCUAAUACCGCAUAACAUCGCAAGAUCAAAGGAGCAAUCCGCUGAAGGAGGGGGUCGCGGCUGAUUAGCUAGUUGGUGAGGUAACGGCUCACCAAGGCGAAGAUCAGUAGCCGGCCUGAGAGGGCGCACGGCCACACUGGAACUGAAACACGGUCCAGACUCCUACGGGAGGCAGCAGUGGGGAAUUUUGCGCAAUGGGGGAAACCCUGACGCAGCAACGCCGCGUGGAGGAUGAAGUCCCUUGGGAUGUAAACUCGGUUCGAUCGGGACGAUUAUGACGGUACCGGAAGAAGAAGCACCGGCUAACUAUGUGCCAGCA
RNAcentral lists this ribosomal RNA (416 nucleotides) under uncultured bacterium. RNAcentral describes it as "bacterial SSU rRNA". It matches the Rfam family "Bacterial small subunit ribosomal RNA", at positions 64 to 513 of the family's 1533-position model. The record is from RNAcentral.